RNAcentral lists this transfer RNA (73 nucleotides) under Ixodes scapularis (black-legged tick). It matches the Rfam family "tRNA". Rfam says of the family: Transfer RNA (tRNA) molecules are approximately 80 nucleotides in length. Their secondary structure includes four short double-helical elements and three loops (D, anti-codon, and T loops). The record is from Rfam by way of RNAcentral. Lineage: Eukaryota; Metazoa; Arthropoda; Arachnida; Ixodida; Ixodidae.
UCCUGGUUAGCUCACUUGGUAGAGUGCUCCACCUGUAAUGGAGAGGUCCCGGGUUCGAUACCCGGACCUGGCG